AGCAGCCGCGGUAAUUCCAGCUCCAAUAGCGUAUAUUAAAGUUGUUGUGGUUAAAAAAGCUCGUAGUAGAACCUUGGGCCUGGCUGGCCGGUCCGCCUCACCGCGUGCACUGGUCCGGCCGGGCCUUUCCCCCUGUGGAACCUCAUGCCCUUCACUGGGUGUGUGGGAAAACAGGACUUUUACUUUGAAAAAAUUAGAGUGCUCCAGGCAGGCCUAUGCUCGAAUACAUUAGCAUGGAAUAAUAGAAUAGGACGUGUGGUUCUAUUUUGUUGGUUUCUAGGACCGCCGUAAUGAUUAAUAGGGACAGUCGGGGGCAUCAGUAUUCAAUUGUCAGAGGUGAAAUUCUUGGAUUUAUUGAAGACUAACUACUGCGAAAGCAUUUGCCAAGGAUGUUUUCAUUUAUCAGGAACGAAAGUUAGGGGAUCGAAGACGAUCAGAUACCGUCGUAGUCUUAACCAUAAACUAUGCCGACUAGGGAUCGGACGAUGUUAUUUUUUGACUCGUUCGGCACCUUACGAGAAAUCAAAGUGCU
RNAcentral lists this ribosomal RNA (532 nucleotides) under Colletotrichum gloeosporioides. Its description in RNAcentral is "SSU rRNA". It matches the Rfam family "Eukaryotic small subunit ribosomal RNA", at positions 569 to 1107 of the family's 1831-position model. The record is from RNAcentral. Lineage: Eukaryota; Fungi; Ascomycota; Sordariomycetes; Glomerellales; Glomerellaceae. RNAcentral also lists the same sequence under 1 other name.